UUAAGUUCAGCGGGUAUUCCUACCUGAUCCGAGGUCAACACUUAGGUAAAUGUAUAACAAGACCGUCGCCCAUCAGAGUCGUCCCAGAUACAUGCUUAGUAAAAAGCUCCUUGUACCCGGUUCCCUCUGGGGCGCCGUCACUAUCUUUGAGACCAGUUGAUAGGCAAAGCUAUAACUAAAAUCCAACACCAAGCAAGGCU
RNAcentral lists this unclassified non-coding RNA (200 nucleotides) under Ascomycota sp. Its description in RNAcentral is "partial internal transcribed spacer 2". Lineage: Eukaryota; Fungi; Ascomycota. The record is from RNAcentral.